This 481-nucleotide ribosomal RNA is filed under the name uncultured beta proteobacterium. RNAcentral describes it as "bacterial SSU rRNA". It matches the Rfam family "Bacterial small subunit ribosomal RNA", at positions 38 to 510 of the family's 1533-position model. The record is from RNAcentral. Lineage: Bacteria; Pseudomonadati; Pseudomonadota; Betaproteobacteria.
GGCGGCAUGCUUUACACAUGCAAGUCGAGCGGCAGCGCGGGGGCAACCCUGGCGGCGAGCGGCGGACGGGUGAGUAAUGCAUCGGAACGUAUCCCGUAGUGGGGGACAACCCAGCGAAAGCUGGGCUAAUACCGCAUAUGCUCUACGGAGGAAAGCGGGGGACUUCGCAAGGAGCCUCGCGCUAUGGGAGCGGCCGAUGUCCGAUUAGCUAGUUGGUGGGGUAAAGGCUUACCAAGGCGACGAUCGGUAGCUGGUCUGAGAGGAUGAUCAGCCACACUGGGACUGAGACACGGCCCAGACUCCUACGGGAGGCAGCAGUGGGGAAUUUUGGACAAUGGGGGCAACCCUGAUCCAGCCAUGCCGCGUGCGGGAAGAANGCCUUCGGGUUGUAAACCGCUUUUGGUCGGGAAGAAAGGGUUCGUCCUAACAGGGCGGACUGUUGACGGUACCGGCAGAAUAAGCACCGGCUAACUACGUGCCA